This 1122-nucleotide ribosomal RNA is filed under the name Triticum aestivum (bread wheat). Its description in RNAcentral is "partial small subunit ribosomal RNA". The record is from RNAcentral. Lineage: Eukaryota; Viridiplantae; Streptophyta; Magnoliopsida; Poales; Poaceae.
AUGACAGAGUCGCUGCUUCUCCCUCUAGUGCGCGGCGUCGCCAGCAAGGCUGCAGACGCACUUAUUGAGACCGUGACCCGCAUGUGUGGCCUCGACGACGACCGCCGAACGCUGGAGCGCCAUCUACUAGCCGUUGAGUGCAAGUUGGCGAAUGCCGAGGAGAGGAGUGAGACAAACGGGUAUGUCAAGAGCUGGAUGAAGGAGCUCAAGUCUAUCGCCUACGAGGCCGACGACGUGCUUGACGACAUACCAUAUGAGGCGCUGCGCCGCCAGUCUAAGAUUGGCAACUCCACUACCCGCAAGGUACUUGGCUACAUCAGACGCCACAGCCCGUUGCUCUUUCGUUUUGAAAUGAGCAGGAAACUCAAGAACGUCCUCAAGAAGAUCAAUAAGUUGGUUAAGGAGAUGAACACAUUUGACUUGGAGAGUUCUGUCCGUAAGGAGCGGCAACAUCCUUGGAGGCAAACACACUCAAAACUGGAUGACACUAAGGAAAUCUUUGGAAGAGAUGAUGAUAAGAAGGUGGUGGUGAAGUUGCUGCUGAACCAGCAAGAUCAGCGGAAUGUGCAGGUGCUCCCCAUCUUUGGGAUGGGAGGUCUUGGCAAGACAACUCUUGCUAAGAUGGUGUAUAAUGACCAACAGAUCCAGAAACAUUUCCAUUUAAAGAUGUGGCACUGCGUGUCUGACAACUUUAAUGUCAUUGCUCUUUUGAAAUCCAUCAUUGAGUUGGCCGGGAAUAAAAGAUGUGACAUGCCUGACACCAUUGAGCUGUUGCGAAAGCAACUUGAGGAAGUCAUUGGCCAAAACAGGUUUAUGCUCAUGCUUGAUGAUGUGUGGAAUGAGAACGAGAGGAUGUGGGAGGAUGAUCUGAAGCCUCUUUUGUGUUCUGUUGGUGGACCAGGAAGCAUAAUAGUAGUCACAACUCGAAGACAUAAAGUGGCCUCUAUAAUGCAGACCCUUCGACCCCUCAAGCUAGAAUGUCUGAGUGUACAAGAUUCAUGGGAGUUGUUUGCACAUAAAGCAUUUAGCAAUGGUGUAGAGGAGCAAGCAGAGUUAGUCAGCAUCGGAAGGCGUAUUGUCAAUAAAUGCGGGGGGGGUUGCUUCUUGCUCUCAAGACAAUAA